This 425-nucleotide ribosomal RNA is filed under the name uncultured bacterium. RNAcentral describes it as "bacterial SSU rRNA". It matches the Rfam family "Bacterial small subunit ribosomal RNA", at positions 354 to 796 of the family's 1533-position model. The record is from RNAcentral.
GUGGGGAAUAUUGGACAAUGGGCGCAAGCCUGAUCCAGCCAUGCCGCGUGAGUGAUGAAGGCCUUAGGGUUGUAAAGCUCUUUCAGUGGGGACGAUAAUGACGGUACCCACAGAAGAAGCCCCGGCUAACUUCGUGCCAGCAGCCGCGGUAAUACGAAGGGGGCUAGCGUUGUUCGGAUUUACUGGGCGUAAAGCGCACGUAGGCGGAUCGUUAAGUCGGGGGUGAAAUCCUGGAGCUCAACUCCAGAACUGCAUUCGAUACUGGCGAUCUUGAGUCCGGAAGAGGUGAGUGGAACUCCUAGUGUAGAGGUGGAAUUCGUAGAUAUUAGGAAGAACACCAGUGGCGAAGGCGGCUCACUGGUCCGGUACUGACGCUGAGGUGCGAAAGCGUGGGGAGCAAACAGGAUUAGAAACCCCGGUAGUCC